This is a long non-coding RNA of Pipistrellus kuhlii (Kuhl's pipistrelle), 2324 nucleotides long. RefSeq lists it as uncharacterized. The record is from RefSeq and is a predicted model, not a curated record. The transcript has 3 exons. NCBI's taxonomy places the organism in Eukaryota, Metazoa, Chordata, Mammalia, Chiroptera, Vespertilionidae.
AAAGAUGUGACAUUUCUCUUAAGAGACUUAUUUUUCAUUUGGAAUAAGCAGUAAUUUCCCUCUAUCAAAGUCUUGAACUAAACUGAAGUUUGGCAAAUUAUAGGCAACAUUAGACUUUCCAUCUUCCUUUGAGUUUAACACUUGGCAAUCAUUCAACUGUGAUUAAUAUCCCAGUUACCUUUAAGUUAGAUUUUCAUCUUACGUGGCAAGUUAGAUUUGCAUUUUACAUAGAACCCUCUGUGGUCCUUGGGCUUGAAAUAGCUGUUGGAAGUCUUUUUUUUUUUUCUUUUCUUUUUUUUUUUUUUUUAAGCUUUAUUCUAUAAUAGAAACCCAUAGUCAGUCUUUAUUAAGAGAGCAAUAGGUCUGCAUCUUAAUUGCACCUUAGAAUCAAAUUAGUUUGGGAUGUAGCUUAGAGGGGCUUUUUUGUUUUUUAAGUUCUGCAGAUGAUUUGAAUGUAAAUGAAAUUAACCACUGGUAUAGAGCAUUUACAAUCAUUUGAAUUUAAAAAAAAAAAAACAACUAGAUUCUACCCCAAAAUAAUUGAAGCUAUCCCUAGUGGUGCUUUUUGUUUUGAUAAAAUAUUAAUGUGUAGUAAAGGUUAAGAACAUGCUUAUGGCCUGGCCUGCAUGUUUCAGUGGUUGAGCAUUGAUCAAGGAACCAAAGAUCACUGGUUGGAUUCCUGGUUAGGGUACAUGCCUGGGUUGCAGGCUCUAUCCUCAAUAGGGGGCAUGCAGGAGGCACCCGAUUGAUAAUUUUUCUCAUUGGUGUUCUAUCUCUUUAUGCCUCUUCCUUCCUCUCUAUAUAGAAAUAAAAUAUCUUUAAAAAAAAAUCUACGAAUUCUCAGAUAAUCUUGUAAAAAUACAGAUCCUAACUCAUAAGAUGGGGGCUGGAACAUGAGAUUUCUCAUUUUUAACAAGUGGCCAUUUGAUGCAUAUCUUCCAGUCUGCAGAUCACACUUUUAUUUUUAAUUGUGUAUAUAAUUAACCUGGAUUUCUAGUUUAUCAUAUCCAAAUUUAAAAGUAGUCAAGGUAAGUCCUGACCAGGUAGCUAGCUCAGUUAAGAGUGUCAUCCCAAUAUGUCAAGGUUGUGGGUUCAAUUUUUGAUGUUUCUCAGCAAGACCCAGACUGAAUCCCUCUCUUUGCCCAGCACAGGACAAUACACCCAUUGAGUGAUAAGUCUAAGUUUCUUAGGAAAGUUGAAUCAAAAAGGACAACUUAGCUUUAGCAAAUCAUAGAGCGGAGAGACCUCUAGAGGUGAUAAGAGUUCCUAAUGGUUAUACUUGAUUUUUUUUCCCCUUUGCACCCCCCUAACCUGUUUUUUAGUGACUUAUUCUAAUAUUUUUUACCAUUUAUUUCUAAUAUAUUUUCAAUACUGAAUUUUUAAAGGUCCAUCAAGGCUGGAAAAAUAGCCUAGAUAUAAAACUUUCUCCCAAGUUUCCUAUAAAUCAACCUUUUCAGAUACAUUCUCCUUGAACUUCUAUUUGACCUGAUCUGAGUGUGACUUGAUCUAGGUUAUCUAUAUUAAUAAAAGGGUAAUAUGCUAAUUAGACCCUACAUUCUUACAGACAAGCCGGGGCCUGGGGGCCUGGGGGCCUGCCGUUGGGGCUGGAGCAAAAGCUGGGGCCUGCAGUCAGGGGAAGGAAAGUCUACUCUUGCACAAAUUUUCAUACAUCAGGCCUCUAGUACAAGAAUAAACUGUGUUUUGCAUGUUCACAACUAUAAACCUACUUUUGCCAAACUCUGUAUUGAUAGAACCCUUACCUUGGAAUUUUACUUAUUUUUCUAUUAUUCUUGAACUCAGUUACCAGCCAUUUCAUCUGUGUUCUCAUAAGUAUCUGGCUUAUCUUCAUUUAUGGACUGGCUAUGUCAGGCACUUUGCUAGUCCUAAGGCCCUUUUCUGUGUAACUUCUCUUCUUGCCUCUAAACUCUCUCCCCAUGUGGACCGUAUGUAGGUUCAUAUAACACCAGGUCUUUUUAAGUAGGUACACAGUGUCCCUGGGUUUUAUAUCCACAGAUUAAACCAACUAUGGAUUGAAAAUACUGUUUUCAUGGUUGGGAAUCCAUUGAUGUGGAGCGCCAACUGUAUGCUUUAUUAUAUAAGGGACUUGAGCAUUUGUUGAUUUUGGUAUCUACAGGGAGUCCUGGAAACAAUUCCCUUCAAGGUACAAUUGGGGAGUCAAAAGCUAUACACAGAUUUUCAACUGUGAGGGCAUUCGGUCCCCUAAGUCCAGUAUUGUUCAGAGAUUGUCAAUGCAGUUGCCAGAACUGGUCAUUCCAACUGAAAUUUUCACUAACACAUUGUUGGUUUCUUGGUCCCCACCAAAC